GUCCCCAUGGCACAACUGGAUAGCGCAAUGGCCUCCUAAGCCGUAGGUUGCAGGUUCGAUUCCUGCUGGGGACA
This 74-nucleotide transfer RNA is filed under the name Reinekea blandensis MED297. It matches the Rfam family "tRNA". From Rfam's summary of the family: Transfer RNA (tRNA) molecules are approximately 80 nucleotides in length. Lineage: Bacteria; Pseudomonadati; Pseudomonadota; Gammaproteobacteria; Oceanospirillales; Saccharospirillaceae. The record is from Rfam by way of RNAcentral.